CUGAACGGGGUGGAGGUAAACUGCCGCCACGGGCUGCAGGCACAGGAUCCCAGAGGACGGGCAGGCUGGUAGCUUGACUGCCUAUCUGGGCCUGGGAAAUGUGGGGGUGGUGUUCUUGUUCAACAAAGCAUGACACCAAGAACAGAAGCGAUCUAGGAUAUCAGGUUGCACAGUCAACUGAGGACAGGUUUCUAGAAGCUUCACCUUCAGCCCGUUAGUCUUAAAGUGCAGCAUGAAGAGAAUGGGCUUGGUUUAAGUGGCUGUGCAACCUUGGGCUAAUUACCAAACCUUUCUGAACUUCAUGGUUUUCGUCUGCCAAAACAGGGACACCCCUGGCUUGUAAGGAGGUAGGAGGCGAUAAGGAUACAGAGAAGACCUGCAAGUCACAGCACCAACUGCCAAGGCAUCUGGGAUUCUUACAAAGCUCAGCUUUGAAUGUAAACAGCCGUGGAGCCUCUGGGGAAAAGCCCUCAUCAGACCCCUUCCAGAGGCCCCAAUUUCCUGUCCAGUGACCCCUGCACCUGUCAACUCAUUGGAGGGACCUGUGAUCCUUGCCAAGAGGCCCAGCAGAAGGGAGUCUCGAGGAGCCUCAGGGUCACUAUGGAGGCCGUGGAGGCCACUGGUCUUGCUGCAUCAGAACGGAUGGCGAUUCUGAGGUCGGGGAGGAGGAGUGAGGUGCCUAGACCCGGUCCCGACAGCUGCGAGACUUUGGUGCCUACCUUGGACACUGAGCAGGCCAAAGAGGAUAAGAAAAGGGGCAAGCUAUGCCUCCUUGGUGCGAUUCCCUCCUCCACCCAGGGGGUGGCUUUGUGCUCCAUGAACACACCUCUUCGCAUGCUCAACUUUCACCACAUCACCUGCUUCAAGUGCACUUUCUUUGCCCCUCUGAGUAUCCAGAUUUUCUCCCGCCACAGUGCCCUGAGGAGGGCCCUCUUCGGGGAAGCCUUUUACCAAGAUCUGCAGCCUGCCUCCCUCCCUCCCUCCCCUGCUGUGCCUGUCUCUUCCCUGUGAAGUAUUUACCACGCAUGGCCUAAAUGGGAUACAUCAUAUCAAUAGAAUAAAAACCAACAUCAUGUGAUCAUCUCACCAGCUGCAGGAAAGGCAUUUGACAAGACCCAGUAUGGUUUCACGACAAAAAAAAAAACAACACUCAAUAGUAGGAAUUGCAAAGCGCUUUCUCAGCCUGCUAAAAACCUUACAACUAAUGUGGUACUCAGUGGGGAAAGACCAACACUCCCUCCCCAAGAUCAAGAACAAGACAAGGACAUCCUCCUCCCUUGCCACUUCUGUUCAACAUCGUAUUAGAGGUUCCAGUCAGGCAGAAGAGGUAAGAAAGAGAAAUACAAAGUAUUGAGAUCGGAAAGGAAGAGGUAAAACUAUCUCUACUUGCAAAUAUUAUAUAAUAGAAAAUCCUAAGGAAUCCACUCAGAAGUGAUUAAUACUAACAAAGGAGGUUAGCAAGGAUGCAAGAUCAGCACACAAAAAUCUGUUGUAUUUCUAUAAAAUUGUAAUGAAUGGGCCGGGGAUGUGGCUCAGUGGCACAGUGCCUGCCUG
Molecule: long non-coding RNA, 1554 nt
Organism: Chinchilla lanigera (long-tailed chinchilla)
Lineage: Eukaryota; Metazoa; Chordata; Mammalia; Rodentia; Chinchillidae
Exons: 3
Source: RefSeq, a predicted model, not a curated record